CAGUAGCCGCGGGAAUACGUAGGUCCCGAGCGUUGUCCGGAUUUAUUGGGCGUAAAGCGAGCGCAGGCGGUUAGAUAAGUCUGAAGUUAAAGGCCGUGGCUUAACCAUAGUACGCUUUGGAAACUGUUUAACUUGAGUGCAAGAGGGGAGAGUGGAAUUCCAUGUGUAGCGGUGAAAUGCGUAGAUAUAUGGAGGAACACCGGUGGCGAAAGCGGCUCUCUGGCUUGUAACUGACGCUGAGGCUCGAAAGCGUGGGGAGCAAACAGGAUUAGAGACCCCCGUAGUCCCUGUCUCUUAUACA
This 301-nucleotide ribosomal RNA is filed under the name uncultured bacterium. Its description in RNAcentral is "partial 16S ribosomal RNA". It matches the Rfam family "Bacterial small subunit ribosomal RNA", at positions 509 to 808 of the family's 1533-position model. The record is from RNAcentral.